RNAcentral lists this transfer RNA (68 nucleotides) under Heterocephalus glaber (naked mole-rat). It matches the Rfam family "tRNA". Rfam says of the family: Transfer RNA (tRNA) molecules are approximately 80 nucleotides in length. Their secondary structure includes four short double-helical elements and three loops (D, anti-codon, and T loops). Lineage: Eukaryota; Metazoa; Chordata; Mammalia; Rodentia; Bathyergidae. The record is from Rfam by way of RNAcentral.
GGUGAUGUAGCUCAGAGGUAGAGCAUUUGCCUUACAUGCUUGUGGCCUUGGUUUCACUCCCAACACCG